Molecule: long non-coding RNA, 2242 nt
Organism: Oncorhynchus keta (chum salmon)
Lineage: Eukaryota; Metazoa; Chordata; Actinopteri; Salmoniformes; Salmonidae
Exons: 2
Source: RefSeq, a predicted model, not a curated record
CUUCUCACAGAUUUUGAUUGUUGGAUGAGCCACUGCAGUGUGAUAUCUGGAAGGCAGGAGACGCAUGGGGGUCAGUGUGAGACAGGAGAGACAGCAGGUGAAACACGAGACGCCUACAGUGGUGGGAAAUGGAGUAGCAGCAAAUCUCUCUGUCUUGAAUGGCUGCCAAGUUCCUGUAGAAAGAAAGCGGUAAAGAAAACUGAUAACCUGCCAUCAACUGUGAUGUUGGUGUUAAUAUUAACUGGCCAACAGAGGGAGCUGUUUCCUUUUGAAAACCUGUAUCAUUUCUAAAAGCAGUAGAGUACUAGCAAGGAGUUUCUAAACCCAGAGGUGCAACAUCACAAGACUUCUGGGAAAUCUUGCGAAGCAGACCAGGCUGGGGUUUGAGAAGUGAAACAUUCUUAGUUCAUUUUCUCGAAAUGUAAAGGCACAACAUUCGAGCCAAUGACUUAAUUAGUUAGUGCUGAGCGACUAGUGCUUUUGAGAUCGGUUCGGUUUUGAUUAGAUUAUUUAAAAAAAUCACGGUUUGUGAUUAUGUGGGUUGAAUGCCAUAAAACAAUCCAUAAAAGUGAUGGUUAGUGACUGCCCAUUACUGCUUAUCACUUAAUAACCAUUAAUUCACAUUACUAUACUUUAAUAAAAUAUUUCAGUUGUGUAUAUUACAUUUGUUUUAUUUUAUUACUUAAUUCCAAGUCAUCUCUAUAGAGCUGCUGCCUAUGCUGUCUGACAAAAUUAGUAUUUUGGUAGUUCUUCAAAGUAAAUAGCGCUUACUUCUGAAUACCAACUAUCACUUAGAUUAUGUACUUUCAGGUAAAGAUACCUAGCGCAGCAACUGCUCUCUCUUUCUCCCUCUCUCCUAACGUAGCAGGCAUAAAAGGAACACAGACCAGACAAGAAGGCGUGCAAUGGAUUAUGGUAAUUGUAGUUAAAGGAGUGCUUUUGAUUUGAUGGCCUGUAAAUGUGCAGUUUGGCACAAGACAACCUUCAAACCCGAUGACGUGUUUCUGUGCAUGAGCUUAGCUAGCCAACGUCACCUACAAGCGUGAUCAGGGAUUUCUACGGGAGAAGCCGUUUCUGCCCAUCUUCAUACUGUACUGUAUUUGGUACAAGUGACAGAAUAAUGCAAUGUUUCUCUAUGAAAAAGGAAAACAAAGCUUAUAAAAAAGGCAUGCCUAGAAAGUCACAAAUCAUAACUUCUCUUCUAAAAUAAAACCAUUAGGUCUUUGCUGAUGUGAGAUUAAAAGGAUAGCAGUGUUAAACUCCAGCAAAGUACUUCAAUAAUGGUAACUAAUCUUCCAAGGUAGUUAUGGUCAUAAGAAAAAAAAAAUAGAAAAUGUGACUACAAUAUCUAACUUCUUGGGGACCUGACCAAAUUCACAUAGAAAUGUCAGUUAUAGAUCUUUCAUUCUCAUUGAAAGUGAGUCAAAGCGGUAGAUCUGUUCUAUGUGCACUAUUUUAAUGCUUUCCGUUUUUUUAAGUUUACUUUUUGUACAAUGACUCUACACAAUGGACUGCUUGUUUUGUCACAAACUGAAAUUAUGGCAAAUUAUUAGAAUUGUAGAAACCAGGAAAUGGUGGAAUGAUUUCUGCAUAGUGCAUCUUUUAAAAAGUAAUUGUGUGUGAUGAAUGUCUUUGUACUGCUACUAUAUUAGUGUAUCCAUCUUGAAGUGGAUAAGCACAGCCAAGGACACAGCAUGGAAGGAAACUGAAAAGCUGUUGUUUAAAAGUUUGUAGAAGAAACAAUUGUGACAUCAGUGAUGCCAUCACCAUUUCAUAAGUACCCUGUUAAACCUGAAAUAUUAUGAGAAGCACAUGAUCAGAAUAUAGAAAGGCUCAGCUUGUACUCAAUGGCAAUGUUCAAUAUCCAUCUCCAGACUUUUCAAAUCGGGGAGGGGGGGGGACCACAAUGGAAAUAAGUCUGACUUUGUGAAAUCCCCAUCACUUUUUAAAAUGUAUGUACAGUGUGUAUACAUGUGUUGGCAAUACAAAUCAAUCAAGGCACAAUAAGAGAGGGAGUCCUCCUCCGUCAUUUAGUUAGAAUGAGUAUACUCAACUUUUAAAAAAGGGGGUGUAGAGUUGAUUCACACUACCUCAGCUAAGAUGCAUCAGAUGUUGUGUGAUUACUUCUGUGGGUUUACUACUAGGAAACACCUCAUCUUUUCUCUUCAUACUCACAUGUUUUCAAUGAGCUGCUUCUCGUCUAGAGCACUGGGGAUAUCUCUUUUGUUGCCAAGAACCAAAA